GUUCUCAGUUCGGACUGUAGGCUGCAACUCGCCUACACGAAGCUGGAAUCGCUAGUAAUCGCGGAUCAGCACGCCGCGGUGAAUACGUUCCCGGGCCUUGUACACACCGCCCGUCACACCAUGAGAGUCUGUAACACCCAAAGCCGGUGGGAUAACCUUUAUAGGAGUCAGCCGUCUAAGGUAGGACAGAUGAUUAGGGUGAAGUCGUAACAAGGUAGC
RNAcentral lists this ribosomal RNA (219 nucleotides) under uncultured bacterium. Its description in RNAcentral is "partial 16S ribosomal RNA". It matches the Rfam family "Bacterial small subunit ribosomal RNA", at positions 1284 to 1500 of the family's 1533-position model. The record is from RNAcentral.